GGGCGUGUAGCUCAGUUGGGAGAGCGCUUCGUUCGCAACGAAGAGGUCGUGGGUUCGACUCCCAUCACGUCCA
Molecule: transfer RNA, 73 nt
Organism: Elusimicrobium minutum Pei191
Lineage: Bacteria; Pseudomonadati; Elusimicrobiota; Elusimicrobia; Elusimicrobiales; Elusimicrobiaceae
Rfam family: tRNA
About the family: Transfer RNA (tRNA) molecules are approximately 80 nucleotides in length. Their secondary structure includes four short double-helical elements and three loops (D, anti-codon, and T loops).
Source: Rfam